RNAcentral lists this long non-coding RNA (346 nucleotides) under Elaeis guineensis (African oil palm). Its description in RNAcentral is "long non-coding RNA (EGUI_LNC035529)". Lineage: Eukaryota; Viridiplantae; Streptophyta; Magnoliopsida; Arecales; Arecaceae. The record is from RNAcentral.
GGAUUUAAUCUCGAAUUUUUUAAUUAGACUUAUGAAGUUCCAAUUGGAUUAGCGUUUAUUGAAAUCCUAUUAGGUUUAUGAGAACCAUGCUAGCACACGGUUAAACCUAAUUCUUCUUGAGACUUCGAUUUGAUCAAGUCUAUAACCUUGAACCUAACGUAAAUCUAUUUAAAUUUUAUUGGGCUCUUAAUUGUGAGUCCAAGAGGAUUUGAUUAAGUCAAUUAGUUGGCAUAAUUAUCCUAACAUUAUCUCUUGUUUAUCUCCUAAUUAUCUCUAAGUGUGCAUGUGGAAUAGAUGGAAAGAGGGAGGCACAAUCUUUUCUUUUUGGCAAGACCAGGGGGCGCCA